UCCGGUUGAUCCUGCCAGAGGUUACUGCUAUCGGAGUUCGAGUAAGCCAUGCGAGUCUAAAGGUUUCUUCGGAAACCUUGGCGGACUGCUCAGUAACACGUGGAUAACCUACCCUUAGGACUGGGAUAACCCCGGGAAACUGGGGAUAAUACCGGAUAGAUCAGGGAUGCUGGAAUGCACCUUGAUCCAAAGCUCCGGCGCCUAUGGAUGGGUCUGCGGCCUAUCAGGUUGUAGUGGGUGUAACGUACCUACUAGCCGACGACGGGUACGGGUUGUGAGAGCAAGAGCCCGGAGAUGGAUUCUGAGACACGAAUCCAGGCCCUACGGGGUGCAGCAGGCGCGAAACCUUUACAAUGUGCGAAAGCAUGAUAAGGGGACUCCGAGUGCCAGCAUCUAAUGCUGGCUGUCCUUGUGCCUAAAAAGCACAAGAUAGCAAGGGCCGGGUAAGACCGGUGCCAGCCGCCGCGGUAACACCGGCGGCCCGAGUGGUAGCCGCUAUUAUUGGGUCUAAAGGGUCCGUAGCCGGUUCGGUAAGUCCUCUGGGAAAUCUGGUUGCUUAACAAUCAGACUGCCAAGGGAUACUGCUGAACUUGAGACCGGGAGAGGUAAGAGGUACUUCAGGGGUAGGAGUGAAAUCUUGUGAUCCCUGGGGGACCAUCUGUGGCGAAGGCGUCUUACCAGAACGGGUCUGACGGUGAGGGACGAAAGCUGGGGGCGCAAACCGGAUUAGAUACCCGGGUAGUCCCAGCCGUAAACGAUGCUCGCUAUGUGUCAGGUACGGUGCGACCGUAUCUGGUGCCGUAGGGAAGCCGUGAAGCGAGCCACCUGGGAAGUACGGUCGCAAGACUGAAACUUAAAGGAAUUGGCGGGGGAGCAC
Molecule: ribosomal RNA, 877 nt
Filed under: uncultured archaeon
Lineage: Archaea
Description: bacterial SSU rRNA
Rfam family: Archaeal small subunit ribosomal RNA
Source: RNAcentral